GAACAUUUUGGGAGUUUUCUCAAAAACAUUUCAAGUUUCAUGGUUUGUAUUUCAGUUGGGUGGACACUCUAACCUGUUGGUAGCACUAUAUGAACAGUCAGAGGCUGACUGAUGGUUCAAAGUUCAAACUGUGGACAGCCUGACCUCCCGGUGAACAGGUUCAGGUCUGAGCAUUGCUGUUUUAGCUUCAGGCAAAAAGGAACAACGACUGUAAACAUAAACAGAGUAAAUCAAGAGUCUGAGCUGAGCUAUAUUUUGGCGGGUGUGUGGAAGUAAAUAAAGAUGGUAUACAAAGAUAUGUUGAAGUACAGGUGGACGCACUGAUGGACUUGGUCACAGCGUGACGUCAGGAACGCUCGGCACUAACGACAGCACCAGAUAGAAUGGUUUAACUUAGCACCUAAAAAUGCACCAUGGCCUGAAAAAAUGCCUGAAAAAAGCACCAGCUAGCCCGUUAGCACAGACUUAAGGAAACAGGAAGCUGUGACAAACAACGCACCUGUUUUUAUUUUUUUUACGAGCUUUAGUUGUUUGUGCAGCAUUUGCCUGUUUCAAAGAGGACACAGCUCUUUCUUUCAUUGCUUUGUUUUUUUUUAUCCUGGUGGAUGAUCCUGGUACUGCUACGUUGACAACAGCAAAAUCUAAGUUCACAGACCGCUUCAUGACUAAAACUGUGGAUCUGUUCCAGACCAGUUUUGGAACUCAAAUGCUGGUUGAAACUUUAUAGUUUGUUUUAUCACCCCCUGCUGGAGAGAACGGGCCUAUACUCCUGCUCUUUUGACCUGUGGGAUGCUGGCUUCAUGCGUCUACCCUGCUGUCCGAUCACAACCUGUCUUGGUAACAGUGGUGGCUAAUGUAUAAGCUAACUAUGACGCGUAGAAAAAAAACAAAAAA
Long non-coding RNA from Thalassophryne amazonica, 894 nucleotides. RefSeq lists it as uncharacterized. Lineage: Eukaryota; Metazoa; Chordata; Actinopteri; Batrachoidiformes; Batrachoididae. The record is from RefSeq and is a predicted model, not a curated record. The transcript is spliced from 2 exons.